AGGGCCGUGUUCUCUUCAGGGCACCGUCUUGGAAACACAUCUGCUCCGGCUGUUUUGUUGUUGUAAACGCUGAUGCCAGGCCGCAGGGGCCAAGGGUCAGAUCCCAGAGCGGGCGGUUUGAUGGGCCAAGCUUCCGCCACACCCCUCCUCCGCCCCCUCGGAAAGUGGAGCAGGUUGGUGGACACAUGGGGACAGGUAAUUUUUUCAAGGCAAAUCAGUUAGGCAGGACAAAUUCCUGGUAAAAGAAGAAAAAGGAGGUUUGAGGUGUGAUGAUAAAGAAUAACGCCUACUUCUCACCGGGUGGUGAGGGGUUGAGGGUAAAGUGAGCCUCCCAAGUUCAAAGCCAUCAGGGAAUUGAUUAGACCAAUCGUGGGCAUCCAUGUAGUGGAAUACUAUGCAGCCACGGAAAAGAAUGGAGUGGACCAAUGUGGACCGAUACAGGAUGACAUCCAAGAGAUUUUACUAGAAAAGACCAGACUAUAGAAUGCCCCACUUCGAAAAGUGCCGUGGGGCCUCUUGGAACAGGUCCGGGCUGCAGAUUACAGUUCAAAACAUAAAAGGCUAUAGAAUGAAGACAGACGUGCCGAAGGCAGAACACUUGAAAAUGAGAAAGUGAGAUUCUUUUAUUUGUCGGGCUGGAAGAUCUCUUUCUCUAAACGCUGUACAAACAGACCCUCCUUCACCAGCUCCCUGGUGGGAACAGGAUGAAACAGAAAUGGGAAGUCCUUUGCAAGCAGGUAUGCUGAUGUAGCUGUGGAAUUUUAGGGUUAGGAAGACACCUCUCCUCUCCCGGCCAGGAAGCAUCUGGUUCAAUUUUUAUUUCAUAGAAAUAGAAACCAAAGCUCAGAAAGGUCAAAGGUCUUGUCCAAGGUCAUCAGCUUCACGCCUCUGGGGGAUUAACACAUCAAGGGCCACUGAUGACUCGAUGCAUCACCAGAUCUUGCAGGUAGGGUAGCCAGGGACCCUCAGUCAUCCAACCGCCAGGCAUUUCUGGACUGCCUACCGUGUCCCCACUGGGGGCCUGGAGCCAGUUCGGAGCUGGACGGUAAAUACUUCAGGCUUUUCCAACUGGAUGUUCUCUUUGUAACGCCCCCAGCCUGCAGCUGCGGUGGAAGUGCAGCCGGGACCCUCUGUAAGGACCUGGCUCCGGAGCCCCCCAGGAUUUGGCCGUGAGCCUGAGAACUUCAUAAGCUAACCGUGAGCUAAGAGCCUCAUUAUCAAAGCAACGUGUAGCCGGAAAUUCACAACAGCGGCCUGGAAGGUUGGUUCAGCUCCCGUCGCGGUUGUUCUAGGACUCAGGUUGUUCCUGAUACUGGAAAGAGGACCUGGCUUCAGUGGUAGCUACUUUUAUACGAGAUGUCAGGGAACAGCCAGCUCUUCCUCCCCGAUGAGUUCAGGAAUACAGGGGGAAGGUGGCUUCCACAGGACUUCUGCCCCCACCCAGGGGGAAAGGGGUCCCGGGCUGGAAGAUGGGAGAAUGCAGCGACCCCCUCACAAACUGGCAUCUGAGAGAGGAGAAGGGAAAGAAAGAGGAAGCAUCAACGGGCUGCCUCCCAAACCCUCCGCGACCCGGGACCACGCCCGCCGCCCAGACGCGUGCCCUGACCUGGAAUCCAUCCCGCAGACUUGGGUGUGCGGGUGAUGCUCCAACCGACCGAGCCACCUGGCCCCUCGGGUGGAGCGUAUUCAAAGGCAAGUGGCCUGUCCUCCUCACUGUUUUGAAGGGUGAUAUUCAACUUCUGUCGUCUUUUUGUUAAGAACCAUCUAGAUGUGCUUAUUUCAUCCUGCCUGCUGUCUACAGGACACAAGUGUGGACAAAUUCUGUUUAAAAAUGGUGGUUCCUACAGGUUAGGUUAAGAAAAGACAGUCACUGCAAAUAAGAAAGUGGUCACAGCGUUAAAAAUGUUCUCGCUGAGCCAGAAGGCUGCCUUUGCCCUCGGAGAUGAGCCGGUUUUAUUUAGGGCAGACAUUUCAGAAACGAAUGUAGGAGGGAAACCUACUCCUGUGUUUUAGGAGUCCAGAAAAAAAAUCUCGGCGAAGUGCCCUUCACUCGUGUGAAAGGUGCAGCCCUCGACACUCAUUCAAAACGCGAGCCCACCCCUCGCCAGGCGCAGGCGGGGCCCGCAGCCUCGGCGUUUCUCCGGUUGAGUGUUCGAUGCCGUUAUCGCGGCUCAGGGGCAAAUGCACACCAACAGCCGUGGAAUGAGGUGGCCGAUGAUG
Artibeus jamaicensis (Jamaican fruit-eating bat) is the source of this 2220-nucleotide long non-coding RNA. RefSeq lists it as uncharacterized. The transcript is spliced from 6 exons. The record is from RefSeq and is a predicted model, not a curated record. Lineage: Eukaryota; Metazoa; Chordata; Mammalia; Chiroptera; Phyllostomidae.